This is a long non-coding RNA of Danaus plexippus (monarch butterfly), 463 nucleotides long. RefSeq lists it as uncharacterized. The record is from RefSeq and is a predicted model, not a curated record. The transcript has 2 exons. Lineage: Eukaryota; Metazoa; Arthropoda; Insecta; Lepidoptera; Nymphalidae.
UAACAAUGACUAGAACUGUACGAGACUACUUGCGAUAAAAGUCGUUAGCUCGUCACACAUCACACAAGCUGGACGGACGGAACUUGAAUCAGAUUAGAGAUAUGUGAUGUAGCAGGUGGUACCUAAUUGAAUUUAAAGAGAAGAUUUAUCAUAAGAGGACGUCAUGGAUUCCAUUCGGUUGUUAUAUGAAUGAGUUACACGAAAUUAUCAUGAAUAUUGUAAAAAUGUAUGAAUUAAGUGUUGAGCGCGAUGACGGCGGGGUGGUGACGACACGCCUGACACAGAAGCAGUCUAUUUCCGGCGGUGACGCAACAUCCGCACACUUCCGGACAAGGGAUAUAGGAGGAGAUACAACUGUCGAGUCUCAGAAACAAUAUGCUGUCAUUGGGGGAAAUUAUAAUAGAAAUUCAAAAUGUUUGUAGAACAAAAAGUUUACAUAUUAAAGGGCUUAAGUUAAAGCGUA